GAUGAACGCUGGCGGCGUGCCUAAUACAUGCGAGUCGAGCGAACAGAUGAGGAGCUUGCUCCUCUGACGUUAGCGGCGGACGGGUGAGUAACACGUGGAUAACCUACCUAUAAGACUGGGAUAACUUCGGGAAACCGGAGCUAAUACCGGAUAAUAUAUUGAACCGCAUGGUUCAAUAGUGAAAGACGGUUUUGCUGUCACUUAUAGAUGGAUCCGCGCCGCAUUAGCUAGUUGGUAGGGUAACGGCUUACCAAGGCAACGAUGCGUAGCCGACCUGAGAGGGUGAUCGGCCACACUGGAACUGAGACACGGUCCAGACUCCGACGGGAGGCAGCAGUAGGGAAUCUUCCGCAAUGGGCGAAAGCCUGACGGAGCAACGCCGCGUGAGUGAUGAAGGUCUUCGGAUCGUAAAACGCUGUUAUUAGGGAAGAACAAAUGUGUAAGUAACUAUGCACGUCUUGACGGUACCUAAUCAGAAAGCCACGGCUAACUACGU
This 496-nucleotide ribosomal RNA is filed under the name uncultured bacterium. Its description in RNAcentral is "partial 16S ribosomal RNA". It matches the Rfam family "Bacterial small subunit ribosomal RNA", at positions 28 to 506 of the family's 1533-position model. The record is from RNAcentral.